CCUACUCUCUUUUUCUUUUUCUUCCUUUCUAACCUUUUCCUCCACAACAUCGACCUCCUCCUCGGCCUUGAAAACCGCGUCAAAUACACCGUCGUCGAGGUCCUCAACGGCGAUUGCCGCCACGACCAAGCUCUAGUCCGCGACAAGCGCUGGUCCAACUUCGAACUCCUCUGCAUUUCGAAACCCAGAUCCAAAUUGCCAAUUGGGUUCGACGGAAAAGCCUUGGUUUGGAAGAGAGAGGAGAGAAGGCGGCGGAGGAAAAGGAAAAGCAAGGUCUGGAAACGACGUCGGGCGCGGCAGAUGAGGCGGACGGCGGAGCUGUCGCUGUCCAGAAUGCCCAAGUUAAAGCCCAAGCACAAGCCCAAGCCCAUGCCCAUGCCCAUGCCCAAGUCCAAUCUCAAUCCCGAUUGAAAUUCCAUCGUGCCCAUUUCUUCCUCAUCGCCCAAGCCAAUAUAGAAAAAAUUCAAAAACAAGAAGGAGAAUGCGGUUUCCAAAUUUAAUAACAGUUGGCCCACCUCGCUUUGAAGGAGUUUCAAGGUUUGGAGAUCGUGAUGGGUACCGUGGAGGUCCUCGUGGUCCUCCAGGUGAAUUUGGUGGUGAGAAGGGAGGAGCUCCACCGGAUUUCCAGCCCUCUUACAGGGGGCUAAUAAUUGAAAGAAUCCAAGCUGAGCCUGUGGAGGGUAAGAGAAAGUUUAUCUAUCUUGGGGAUGGUAAACUUUUUCCCCUAGAUUUGAGCUUGUGUCGUACAAUAAUGUGAACAUCAAUUAUCACAUUCAGUUUGUGAAAUCAGUUAUGGAUUUAGUGUUUGUAAUUGUACCUUCUUUCUUAUUAGUUACUUUCCCUUUAAUCUUGCUUGUCUCACAGGAGCACAGGUGUGAAAGAGAAGCUCUCAGAUAAAUACAAAGACAAAAUAGUUGAUUAGAAAAUAUUGGCGAAUGAGGUAGGUCCUAGGUCUCUAGGGCCAUAGGGAACACGUAUGACCACUUCUCUUUCUCACACGCACUUAUCUUCUACCUUUGAGUCUUUGACAUAACCUACACAUCUCUUUCUGUCUCUCAAAACUACUGUGCUAGCUGCGGUCUUCAAUGACUUUAUAAUUAUUUUCAAUCUUGUGCAUUUUGAUUUUCAAAACAAUAUGGUUCAUGUAUCAAAAUUUUACUGAAGUGAAUGUGUAAAUUUUUCUUUAAUUUUUAUGCUAUUUUUAAUAUGUACAAUUCCUUGACUCUUGAGUGAAUAAAUCAAUAUCUCAAGUAUUUAUUACUUGAUAUGGGAUGGGUAAUGGUAAAUCCUUUAUUGUCACGUUUCAUGGUCGUUGAAAAGGGAUUGUAUGAAACUUUGAAUGCUGUCUCUUAAAGAACUUCCUUUUGGGAAAUUGCAUCUUUUUGACAUUUGCAAACAUAAAGUCGAAAGCCAUUGUUGCUUACUUUUUUACUCAAUAGUCAUAAUCUUUUUGAGAGUCGCUUUACAAUGAUUUCCAAGGAGAGAGAGAGAAAAUCUAUUCAAGUUUUGUGAAUUACUAUAAAAGCCCUUACUGCCACUACUUUUAAUGAAUUAUGUGUGAGUGUCUAGUGUCUACUACACUUGACCAAGACUUCAAAAAGUUUUGAAGACUUUGAUCGAACAAUUGGAUUGGAUGGGCAGCUAAGGACCUCAUAUUAUUAGCUUCGACAUAGGUUAUACAUAUCUGUUGAAUUGAUUAUUCCAAUAGUAUAAGUACAAUUAAUGAAGCCUGGUCACUUAUAGUGGAAUCCAUGGUGGCAUUGAUCUCACUUUUUUCCUAAGCCUUGUGUUUGGCAUUUCAAAUUUUGAAAUCCAUUUUGAUUGGUAACCUUAACCUGUUGCCCCUUUGUAGUGAAGGGUUCUAUUUUUGUUUUGUAACUUUUGAGUGCAUGUUAAGAGUCCCACUAAUGACAUGUUGACAGGUGCGGAAAUUUUCUUUUUGGGGCUUGGAUGUGCAAGUAGUGAACUUUUAAUUUGCGAUAAGCUCUCUCCCUUUGUCUCUCUAUCACUUCUUUCUCUCUCUCUUACGUCUGCAAAGACGAAGAAGGUAUGUUAGAUUUCUAGUCAUGGUCACACUUUCAAAGAAAAAUAAACUUCAGACGUGGUGCCAUUAUAAUGUUUUUCAUUAAAAACAGAAGUACAAUUAUAUUUUUAUUAGUUAAUUCAUGGAUGGAUAUAUGAAUGUUUACAUGCAUGCAUGAUGAUCAAGCAGCACAUUUGUUCUCACAUCUUAAUAAAGAGAGCAUUUUCGCUGAUUGUGGCUAACAAGGAAAUUUAAAAUUACAAAAAAGGAGUAAUGCUUGAUAUUGAUGCCAAAAAUAUUAUAUUCGUGAAGUAGAAAAUAGUUGAUUCCUACGAAUUUGGAAAAUAAAAUAUAUUGGCAAUUUGAAUUGGAAUAGUUAAGUAGAUAUUCCUGUAGCUAUUUUACUUAUGCAAGGACCCUUUUUAGUGCAAUUGUUGAGAUGCUUGUAUUGGUUCAGGUAUUUCUUAUGUUAUAGGCGUAUGUAAUGAAAAAUGCUUCUUGCCAUUUGACUUUUUGGGAUGUACUUUACUCUUUAAGUUGUGUGCCUGAAAUUCUUUUACCCCUUAUCUUGUAUAUUUCCUGUGUCAUUUGUUGGAUGGUUAUGCAAUGGUUUUAUUGAUUUACAUCAGCAUGUGCUAGAGAGGGGAAAGCCUCAUGAAAGAAGCUAGAUUAUAAGCAAGUUGUCAGGACAUAUUGUACAACUGAGCCAAUAUAAAUUUGCAUCAAACGUUAUUAAGAAAUGUUUGGAGUAUGGUGGCCCCACUGAACAAGAACUAUUAAUUGGGGAGAUUUUUGGGCAUAAUGAAGGAACUGAUAAUUUAUUGGCCGAAGGUUUCAUCGACACUUUUCUUCAAUUAUAACACCUCGAUGGGACUGCCAUAUCGGGUUUUGGUAGAUACCAACUUCAUCAAUUUCUCUAUCCAGAAUAAACUAGACUUGGAGAAGGGAAUGAUGGACUGCCUAUAUGCAAAAUGUGAGUUUAGAAUCACUGGUUUCUUCAAUUUAAUGUGAAUAUUAAUUUGCUGCAAGAAUUGUUGAGCUGUGUUGAUGAGGUAUCCUAAGUUCAACAUAGUUGUUAAUGUGGUUUUAUAACAAGCAUUGAGUGCCAUGUAUCAUUGGCAAACACUUAAAUAUGUGUUGGUUGCUUAAUGAUAUUUAUCAAAAUAUUACUCUUGAUUGUGUGGAUGUCCAUGAAAAUGCUUAAGGAAUAAAAUGAGGAUCUUUUUUUAAAUUAUGAUUUUAUUGAA
RNA transcript from Quercus lobata, 3270 nucleotides. RefSeq lists it as uncharacterized. The record is from RefSeq and is a predicted model, not a curated record. NCBI's taxonomy places the organism in Eukaryota, Viridiplantae, Streptophyta, Magnoliopsida, Fagales, Fagaceae. The transcript is spliced from 6 exons.